Molecule: non-coding RNA, 72 nt
Organism: Ornithorhynchus anatinus (platypus)
Lineage: Eukaryota; Metazoa; Chordata; Mammalia; Monotremata; Ornithorhynchidae
Source: Rfam
AGCAGCGGGGCUCAGCGGAAAGAGCGCGGGCUGGGGAGCCAGAGGUCACGGGUUCAAAUCCCGGCUCUGCCG